RNAcentral lists this ribosomal RNA (465 nucleotides) under Vreelandella stevensii. Its description in RNAcentral is "partial 16S ribosomal RNA". It matches the Rfam family "Bacterial small subunit ribosomal RNA", at positions 338 to 795 of the family's 1533-position model. Lineage: Bacteria; Pseudomonadati; Pseudomonadota; Gammaproteobacteria; Oceanospirillales; Halomonadaceae. The record is from RNAcentral.
CCUACGGGUGGCUGCAGUGGGGAAUAUUGGACAAUGGGGGCAACCCUGAUCCAGCCAUGCCGCGUGUGUGAAGAAGGCCCUCGGGUUGUAAAGCACUUUCAGUGAGGAAGAACGCCUGGUGGUUAAUACCCAUCAGGAAAGACAUCACUCACAGAAGAAGCACCGGCUAACUCCGUGCCAGCAGCCGCGGUAAUACGGAGGGUGCGAGCGUUAAUCGGAAUUACUGGGCGUAAAGCGCGCGUAGGUGGCUUGAUAAGCCGGUUGUGAAAGCCCCGGGCUCAACCUGGGAACGGCAUCCGGAACUGUCAAGCUAGAGUGCAGGAGAGGAAGGUAGAAUUCCCGGUGUAGCGGUGAAAUGCGUAGAGAUCGGGAGGAAUACCAGUGGCGAAGGCGGCCUUCUGGACUGACACUGACACUGAGGUGCGAAAGCGUGGGUAGCAAACAGGAUUAAAUACCCGGGUAGUC